GUGGGAGCGGGCUUGCUCGCGAAUGCGGUGUGUCAGUCGACAUCAACUUUGACUGACACACCGCAUUCGCGAGCAAGCCCGCUCCCAC
This 88-nucleotide unclassified non-coding RNA is filed under the name Pseudomonas lini. The record is from RNAcentral. Lineage: Bacteria; Pseudomonadati; Pseudomonadota; Gammaproteobacteria; Pseudomonadales; Pseudomonadaceae.